RNAcentral lists this ribosomal RNA (449 nucleotides) under uncultured bacterium. Its description in RNAcentral is "SSU rRNA". It matches the Rfam family "Bacterial small subunit ribosomal RNA", at positions 26 to 518 of the family's 1533-position model. The record is from RNAcentral.
AGAGCGAACGCUGGCGGCAGGCUUAACACAUGCAAGUCGAGCGGGCGUAGCAAUACGUCAGCGGCAGACGGGUGAGUAACGCGUGGGAACGUACCUUUUGGUUCGGAACAACCCAGGGAAACUUGGGCUAAAUACCGGAUAAGCCCUUACGGGGAAAGAUUUAUCGCCGAAAGAUCGGCCCGCGUCUGAUUAGCUAGUUGGUGAGGUAAUGGCUCACCAAGGCGACGAUCAGUAGCUGGUCUGAGAGGAUGAUCAGCCACAUUGGGACUGAGACACGGCCCAAACUCCUACGGGAGGCAGCAGUGGGGAAUAUUGGACAAUGGGCGCAAGCCUGAUCCAGCCAUGCCGCGUGAGUGAUGAAGGCCCUAGGGUUGUAAAGCUCUUUUGUGCGGGAAGAUAAUGACGGUACCGCAAGAAUAAGCCCAGGCUAACUUCGCGCCAGCAGCCGC